RNAcentral lists this ribosomal RNA (116 nucleotides) under Candidatus Woesebacteria bacterium. Lineage: Bacteria; Candidatus Woeseibacteriota. RNAcentral also lists the same sequence under 1 other name. The record is from RNAcentral.
UUCGGUGCCUUGAGCGAUGUGGUCCCACCUCUUCCCAUUCCGAACAGAGAAGUGAAACGCAUCAGCGCCGAUGGUACUUAUUCUUUAUGGAUAGGGAGAGUAGGUCGGUGCCGAAU